This 586-nucleotide ribosomal RNA is filed under the name uncultured bacterium. Its description in RNAcentral is "partial 16S ribosomal RNA". It matches the Rfam family "Bacterial small subunit ribosomal RNA", at positions 355 to 1375 of the family's 1533-position model. The record is from RNAcentral.
UGGGGAAUUUUGGACAAUGGGCGAAAGCCUGAUCCAGCAAUGCCGCGUGUGUGAAGAAGGCCUUCGGGUUGUAAAGCACUUUUGUCCGGAAAGAAAUCCUUGGCUCUAAUACAGUCGGGGGAUGACGGUACCGGAAGAAUAAGCACCGGCUAACUACGUGCCAGCAGCCGCGGUAAUACGUAGGGUGCAAGCGUUAAUCGGAAUUACUGGGCGUAAAGCGUGCGCAGGCGGUUUGCUAAGACCGAUGUGAAAUCCCCGGGCUCAACCUGGGAACUGCAUUGGUGACUGGCAGGCUAGAGUAUGGCAGAGGGGGGUAGAAUUCCACGUGUAGCAGUGAAAUGCGUAGAGAUGUGGAGAAUACCGAUGGCGAAGGCCAGCCCCCAUGGGCAAUACUGACGCUCAUGCACGAAAGCGUGGGGAGCAAACAGGAUUAGAUACCCUGGUAGUCCACGCCCUAAAACGAUGUCAACUAGUUGUUGGGGAUUCAUUUCCUUAGUAACGUAGCUAACGCGUGAAGUUGACCGCCUGGGGAGUACGGUCGCAAGAUUAAAACUCAAAGGAAUUGACGGGGUCAUAGCUGUUUCCU